UACGAAGGGGGCUAGCGUUGCUCGGAAUGGCUGGGCGUAAAGGGCGCGUAGGCGGCUCUCAUCGUCGGGCGUGAAAUUCCUGGGCUUAACCUGGGGGCUGCGUUCGAUACGUGGGGACUUGAGUGUGGGAGAGGGUCGUGGAAUUCCCAGUGUAGAGGUGAAAUUCGUAGAUAUUGGGAAGAACACCGGUGGCGAAGGCGGCGACCUGGUCCAUGACUGACGCUGAGGCGCGAAAGCGUGGGGAGCAAACAGG
This 253-nucleotide ribosomal RNA is filed under the name uncultured bacterium. Its description in RNAcentral is "partial 16S ribosomal RNA". It matches the Rfam family "Bacterial small subunit ribosomal RNA", at positions 524 to 776 of the family's 1533-position model. The record is from RNAcentral.